UACGUAGGGUGCGAGCGUUGUCCGGAAUUAUUGGGCGUAAAGAGCUCGUAGGUGGCCUGUCGCGUCGGCUGUGAAAACUCGGGGCUCAACUCCGAGCUUGCAGUCGAUACGGGCAGGCUAGAGUUCGGCAGGGGAGACUGGAAUUCCUGGUGUAGCGGUGAAAUGCGCAGAUAUCAGGAGGAACACCGGUGGCGAAGGAGGGUCUCUGGGCCGAUACUGACGCUGAGGAGCGAAAGCGUGGGGAGCGAACAGG
This 253-nucleotide ribosomal RNA is filed under the name uncultured bacterium. RNAcentral describes it as "partial 16S ribosomal RNA". It matches the Rfam family "Bacterial small subunit ribosomal RNA", at positions 524 to 776 of the family's 1533-position model. The record is from RNAcentral.